UUCCAGCCCCGGUAGAGCCGGCAUCCUCCCGACCUUCGGAAGGGAGAUAUAGGCGAAAACGGGAGGGGGC
RNAcentral lists this unclassified non-coding RNA (70 nucleotides) under Flavobacterium fontis. RNAcentral describes it as "Flavo-1 RNA". The record is from RNAcentral. Lineage: Bacteria; Pseudomonadati; Bacteroidota; Flavobacteriia; Flavobacteriales; Flavobacteriaceae.